ACACGUUGGGAGACCUCCAUGAGAAAUGCAGCCGGACACGUGGGAAGAACGUGCAAGUAAAACUCACUCCACUCCAGCUGACUUAAAAGCAACUUAAAAAAAAUAUUCUGAACUCCAAUCAUAAAAAUUAAUUAACUAUUAAACUAUUAAACCCCCAGCAAAUAACACAACCUUAAACGCUAACUAAACUUCUGGAAUCGAAAAGUUUAUACAUAAUCUGGAUUAAAGGAAACUUACCAAAACCAGGGUGAAAAUAUUUUACACCGUAAAAUUCAGAUCUGCCAGUGGAAUUCGCAAUUUUGUAGAUAGUGAAGGAGAAGGCUUAAAUGUACCAAAUAAUUUAAACAAAAGGACUUCUAAAUUAUAGCAUGUCAACAUCAGGAUUUAAAACGGAUCCUGAAUCUACAUUCGCAGGGAUUUCGACACCACGUGGUCCGGAGGAAGAUGCACCUUGCCGGGAACACGUGACGACCCAAAGGGCCCCACGCUUUUCCUGUUCGACAUGUACGAAAUCGUAUUCAUCACUUCAACACCUGCGAUUCCACGAACUGCAGAGAUGUGACGGCCUAAAUCAGACCACGUGUGAACGGUGUAAGAUUGAAUUUGCAUCGAUAGAAUUAUUAGAAUGGCACUCGACAUUCGACACGUGUGCCACAAAACUCGGGGGUGGCGGUUAUAGUACCAGGGGGCUAGCGAAGGAGUGGGUGGUCGUGUAGUAAUUCUUCUGGGAUUAUGUGCCCCGUGGCCACGUGUCGGCGAUGGUUUGGCUCCGAAAUGUCGCGACGGAUCCACGUGGUAAAAAGUCAUGCCGCCUGGGGGAACGGGUGUUUGAUAUGUGCCGAGAAAUUUGCCGGUUAUGAGGAGCUGCUUGACCAUCUUGGACGGGCGCAUGGGUCGGACGUAGAUGUCGUGAGAGUAAAGACUGAGCUGAUUUUGGACGAGGGUGGUGAAACUGGGGCGGAAAGUAUUGCCAAAAUUAAGGAGGAAAUCGACUAAAAAGUGGGGGUGAUUAAGGUGGAAAAUGAAAGUUGGAACGGCGUAAAUGUGAAAAUUGAACCUUAUCAAGACUCGUAGUACUAGGUAGAAUUAAGUUUGUUAAAUUUAUAUAUAUUUAUUUAUACCUAGUGGGCCCCCGCUGGCUGUAAGUAACUUUAAACUUGUUGGAGCUAAAAAAAACUGUUGAGUAAAUUGAAAUCCUUAUGCAAUUUUGCAAAUUAAUUUUUUUCUGAAGUAGGUUUGUGGCGUUGUAUAGAAAACGUUAUUUUUAUUAUUUAUAUCUACAUAAAAUAAAACUUUUGCAAACAUUUA
Folsomia candida is the source of this 1308-nucleotide RNA transcript. It is a transcript of the gene named protein snail homolog Sna, with no coding region annotated. The transcript has 8 exons. The record is from RefSeq and is a predicted model, not a curated record. NCBI's taxonomy places the organism in Eukaryota, Metazoa, Arthropoda, Collembola, Entomobryomorpha, Isotomidae.